RNAcentral lists this ribosomal RNA (439 nucleotides) under uncultured bacterium. RNAcentral's name for it is "partial 16S ribosomal RNA". It matches the Rfam family "Bacterial small subunit ribosomal RNA", at positions 339 to 795 of the family's 1533-position model. The record is from RNAcentral.
CUACGGGCGGCACCAGUGGGGAAUAUUGCACAAUGGAGGAAACUCUGAUGCAGCAACGCCGCGUGGAGGAUGACACUUUUCGGAGCGUAAACUCCUUUUAUAUAGGAAGAAGAUGACGGUACUAUAUGAAUAAGCGCCGGCUAACUCCGUGCCAGCAGCCGCGGUAAUACGGAGGGCGCAAGCGUUACUCGGAAUCACUGGGCGUAAAGAGCGUGUAGGCGGAUUAAAAAGUCAGAAGUGAAAUCCUAUAGCUUAACUAUAGAACUGCUUCUGAAACUCUUAAUCUAGAAUAUGGGAGAGGUAGAUGGAAUUUCUGGUGUAGGGGUAAAAUCCGUAGAGAUCAGAAGGAAUACCGAUUGCGAAGGCGAUCUACUAGAACAUUAUUGACGCUGAGACGCGAAAGCGUGGGGAGCAAACAGGAUUAGAUACCCGCGUAGUC